UACGAAGGGGGCUAGCGUUGCUCGGAAUGACUGGGCGUAAAGGGCGCGUAGGCGGAUGGCACAGUCAGAUGUGAAAUUCCCGGGCUUAACCUGGGGGCUGCAUUUGAUACGUGUUGUCUUGAGUUCGGAAGAGGGUCGUGGAAUUCCCAGUGUAGAGGUGAAAUUCGUAGAUAUUGGGAAGAACACCGGUGGCGAAGGCGGCGACCUGGUCCGUCUGACGCUGAGGCGCGAAAGCGUGGGGAGCAAACAGG
This 251-nucleotide ribosomal RNA is filed under the name uncultured bacterium. RNAcentral's name for it is "partial 16S ribosomal RNA". It matches the Rfam family "Bacterial small subunit ribosomal RNA", at positions 524 to 776 of the family's 1533-position model. The record is from RNAcentral.